Molecule: ribosomal RNA, 468 nt
Filed under: uncultured bacterium
Lineage: Bacteria
Description: partial 16S ribosomal RNA
Rfam family: Bacterial small subunit ribosomal RNA
Source: RNAcentral
GACGAACGCUGGCGGCGUGCUUAACACAUGCAAGUCGAACGGAAAGGCCCUGCUUUUGUGGGGUGCUCGAGUGGCGAACGGGUGAGUAACACGUGAGUAACCUGCCCUUGACUUUGGGAUAACUUCAGGAAACUGGGGCUAAUACCGGAUAGGAGCUCCUGCUGCAUGGUGGGGGUUGGAAAGUUUCGGCGGUUGGGGAUGGACUCGCGGCUUAUCAGCUUGUUGGUGGGGUAGUGGCUUUCCAAGGCUUUGACGGGUAGCCGGCCUGUGAGGGUGACCGGCCACAUUGGGACUGAGGUACGGCCCAGACUCCUACGGGAGGCAGCAGUGGGGAAUAUUGCACAAUGGGCGGAAGCCUGAUGCAGCAACGCCGCGUGCGGGAUGACGGCCUUCGGGUUGUAAACCGCUUUCGCCUAUGACGAAGCGUGAGUGACGGUAAUGGGUAAAGAAGCACCGGCUAACUACGUG